AGAGUUUGAUCAUGGCUCAGAACGAACGCUGGCGGCAGGCUUAACACAUGCAAGUCGAACGCAUCCUUCGGGGUGAGUGGCAGACGGGUGAGUAACGCGUGGGAACGUGCCCUUCAGUUCGGAAUAACCCAGGGAAACUUGGGCUAAUACCGGAUACGUGCGAGAGCAGAAAGAUUUAUCGCUGAAGGAUCGGCCCGCGUCUGAUUAGCUAGUUGGUAGGGUAAUGGCCUACCAAGGCGACGAUCAGUAGCUGGUCUGAGAGGAUGAUCAGCCACAUUGGGACUGAGACACGGCCCAAACUCCUACGGGAGGCAGCAGUGGGGAAUAUUGGACAAUGGGCGCAAGCCUGAUCCAGCCAUGCCGCGUGAGUGAUGAAGGCCUUAGGGUUGUAAAGCUCUUUCGGCGGGGACGAUAAUGACGGUACCCGCAGAAGAAGCCCCGGCUAACUUCGUGCCAGCAGCCGCGGUAAUACGAAGGGGGCUAGCGUUGUUCGGAAUCACUGGGCGUAAAGGGCGCGUAGGCGGCUUGAUAAGUCGGGGGUGAAAGCCUGUGGCUCAACCACAGAAUUGCCUUCGAUACUGUCUGGCUUGAGACGGAAGAGGUAAGUGGAACUGCGAGUGUAGAGGUGAAAUUCGUAGAUAUUCGCAAGACACCAGUGGCGAAGGGGCUUACUGGUCCGGUUCUGACGCUGAGGCGCGAAAGCGUGGGGAGCAAACAGGAUUAGAUACCCUAGUAGUCC
RNAcentral lists this ribosomal RNA (739 nucleotides) under uncultured bacterium. RNAcentral describes it as "bacterial SSU rRNA". It matches the Rfam family "Bacterial small subunit ribosomal RNA", at positions 8 to 796 of the family's 1533-position model. The record is from RNAcentral.